RNAcentral lists this transfer RNA (86 nucleotides) under Ruminococcaceae bacterium OttesenSCG-928-A16. RNAcentral's name for it is "tRNA-Leu". It matches the Rfam family "tRNA". From Rfam's summary of the family: Transfer RNA (tRNA) molecules are approximately 80 nucleotides in length. Lineage: Bacteria; Bacillati; Bacillota; Clostridia; Eubacteriales; Oscillospiraceae. The record is from RNAcentral.
GCCGGUGUGGUGGAAUGGCAGACACGAUGGACUCAAAAUCCAUUGGUAGCAAUAUCGUAUCGGUUCAAGUCCGAUCACCGGCACCA